CUUGACCGACCCCAGCCACAGCGGCCGCUCCGCUCGCCUGCCCUGGCCGUAGGUGGCGAGCAGAGCAUCCGCCUC
The sequence is an antisense RNA, 75 nucleotides long. It matches the Rfam family "ASpks TB sRNA".